Molecule: ribosomal RNA, 301 nt
Filed under: uncultured bacterium
Lineage: Bacteria
Description: partial 16S ribosomal RNA
Rfam family: Bacterial small subunit ribosomal RNA
Source: RNAcentral
CAGUAGCCGCGGUAAAACGGAGGGUGCAAGCGUUAAUCGGAAUUACUGGGCGUAAAGCGUGCGUAGGUGGUUUGUUAAGUUGGAUGUGAAAUCCCAGGGCUCAACCUUGGAACUGCAUUUUUAACUACCGGACUAGAGUAUGUCAGAGGGAGGUGGGAUUCCACGUGUAGCAGUGAAAUGCGUAGAUAUGUGGAGGAACACCGAUGGCGAAGGCAGCCUCCUGGGAUAAUACUGACGCUCAUGCACGAAAGCGUGGGGAGCAAACAGGAUUAGAUACCCGGGUAGUCCCUGUCUCUUAUAC